This 483-nucleotide ribosomal RNA is filed under the name uncultured bacterium. RNAcentral's name for it is "bacterial SSU rRNA". It matches the Rfam family "Bacterial small subunit ribosomal RNA", at positions 28 to 526 of the family's 1533-position model. The record is from RNAcentral.
GACGAACGCUGGCGGCGUGCUUAACACAUGCAAGUCGAGCGAAAGGAUUCCCUUCGGGGAUGAAUUUAGCGGCGGACGGGUGAGUAACACGUGGGCAACCUGCCUUAUAGAGGGGGAUAGCCUUCCGAAAGGAAGAUUAAUACCGCAUAACAUCAUUUUACCGCAUGGUAGUUUGAUCAAAGGAGCAAUCCGCUAUAAGAUGGGCCCGCGGCGCAUUAGCUAGUUGGUGAGGUAACGGCUCACCAAGGCGACGAUGCGUAGCCGACCUGAGAGGGUGAUCGGCCACAUUGGGACUGAGACACGGCCCAGACUCCUACGGGAGGCAGCAGUGGGGAAUAUUGCACAAUGGGGGAAACCCUGAUGCAGCAACGCCGCGUGAGUGAUGAAGGCCUUCGGGUUGUAAAGCUCUGUCUUUGGGGACGAUAAUGACGGUACCCAAGGAGGAAGCCACGGCUAACUACGUGCCAGCCGCCGCCGUAACAC